This 441-nucleotide ribosomal RNA is filed under the name uncultured bacterium. RNAcentral describes it as "bacterial SSU rRNA". It matches the Rfam family "Bacterial small subunit ribosomal RNA", at positions 958 to 1400 of the family's 1533-position model. The record is from RNAcentral.
AACGCGAAGAACCUUACCUAGGCUUGAAAGCAGUCUAAACCAGUGAAAGCUGGGUACCCGCAAGGGGGGCUGUACAGGUGCUGCAUGGCUGUCGUCAGCUCGUGCCGUGAGGUGUUUGGUUAAGUCCAGCAACGAGCGCAACCCCUGGGUUUAGUUGCCAGCACGUAAUGGUGGGAACUCUAAACCAACUGCCUACGCAAGUAGUGAGGAAGGUGGGGAUGACGUCAAAUCAUCAUGCCCCUUAUGUCCAGGGCGACACACGUGUUACAAUGGGAUAGGACAACGGGCAGCAAGUUAGCAAUGACAAGCUAAUCCCUUAAACCUACCCUCAGUUCGGAUUGGGGUCUGCAACUCGACCCCAUGAAGUCGGAAUCGCUAGUAACCGCGGAUCAGCCAUGCCGCGGUGAAUACGUUCCCGGGCCUUGUACACACCGUAGAGAC